This 483-nucleotide ribosomal RNA is filed under the name uncultured bacterium. RNAcentral's name for it is "partial 16S ribosomal RNA". It matches the Rfam family "Bacterial small subunit ribosomal RNA", at positions 28 to 507 of the family's 1533-position model. The record is from RNAcentral.
GACGAACGCUGGCGGCGUGCUUAACACAUGCAAGUCGAACGCUGAAGCUCAGCUUUUGUUGGGUGGAUGAGUGGCGAACGGGUGAGUAACACGUGAGUAACCUGCCUCCUUCUUUGGGAUAACGCCCGGAAACGGGUGCUAAUACUGGAUAUUCACUGGUCUUCGCAUGGGGGUUGGUGGAAAGGGUUUUUCUGGUGGGGGAUGGGCUCGCGGCCUAUCAGCUUGUUGGUGGGGUGAUGGCCUACCAAGGCUUUGACGGGUAGCCGGCCUGAGAGGGUGACCGGUCACAUUGGGACUGAGAUACAGCCCAGACUCCUACGGGAGGCAGCAGUGGGGAAUAUUGCACAAUGGGCGCAAGCCUGAUGCAGCGACGCCGCGUGAGGGAUGGAGGCCUUCGGGUUGUGAACCUCUUUCGCUCAUGGUCAAGCCGCAACAAUGGUUGUGGUGAGGGUAGUGGGUAAAGAAGCGCCGGCUAACUACGUG